This 224-nucleotide unclassified non-coding RNA is filed under the name uncultured Rhodanobacteraceae bacterium. RNAcentral describes it as "contains 16S-23S intergenic spacer region". The record is from RNAcentral. Lineage: Bacteria; Pseudomonadati; Pseudomonadota; Gammaproteobacteria; Lysobacterales; Rhodanobacteraceae.
UCCGGUUUGUCACCGGCAGUCUCCUUAGAGUUCCCACCAUUACGUGCUGGCAACUAAGGACAAGGGUUGCGCUCGUUGCGGGACUUAACCCAACAUCUCACGACACGAGCUGACGACAGCCAUGCAGCACCUGUGUUCCGAUUCCCGAAGGCACUCCCGCAUCUCUGCAGGAUUCCGGACAUGUCAAGGCCAGGUAAGUUGGGGAUGACGUUUAGGAGCUCGAC